UGGUGAAGAAGAAUGAGACUGAUCAGAAGCAAUAUUAGGCAUUUAAGGAGAAAAAAUAUUUACAGAUAAUGGAGAGGGAGUAGGAGAAAGAUCUUGUGAUAUUAAGGUAGAAAACAUAAACAACUUUGUCUUGGUAGUAGAAAAAGAGAUAGGAAAUAUAUACUCAAUAAAUCUAACAUCCCUCGAAACAAAAAAACUAGUUGUUUGUGAGAUUUAAAAGUUUAUAACCCUUCUUUCCAAAGGGAUAACCUACAAAAAUAUUAGGAAGGGCUCUUGGUGCAAGUUUGUCCGUGUUUUUGGAAAGGGUGGAGAUAAUACAUAAGCAACCAAAAGGUUUUAAAUAUACAUAAUCAGAAAUUUUGACAAAAAAAACUUGAUCUGUAUAUCAAAAAAGUAUUGAGUAGUUUCAGUUGAGCUCAGAUCCUCGUUAGCUUAGUGAAGUAACCUGCUAUAGUAAUAUUGGCUUGAUUAAUAUUGUUAAAUUCCCUUUGCAGUUGGAAGAGCUUUGUACCAUUAGCAUGUCCAUAGCUUUGUUCUAGUUUACUCCACCAUUCUCUGGCAGUUGAAGAUUAGAUCACACUCUCAGCAAUAUCUCUACUGAGAGUAUUCAGUAGCCAAGAUAUCAGCCUGUCGUUAUAUCUCUGCCAUUGUAAAAACAAGGGUGAGUCUGAAUUUGGGGAUAAAGAAAAUCUAUUAAUAAAACCAAGUGUAUUCUUGGUUAAAAGAAAAAUCAACACUCCUCUUUUUCAGUAGUUAUAAGAAGUUUCAUCAAAAGUUAUAUUAAUUAGUGUCAUGCUUGGAUUAUAGGAGGAAGAAAGAAAGUAGGGGUGAGUGGAUUUAAUUAGAAUCAAGGAUGCUGAAUUCAUAGGAGUUCCUUUAGUUUCAAAAGAUUUUGGGUCAUCAGAUAUAGUCGUUUGAGAAAACAUUGAAGUGAAAAAAAAUGAAGAGAAGAUUCUUAUAGCACCUGCUCCGAUACCAUGAAAAAGAAGAAGAAUAACAGGAUUUGUAUUUAUUUCUUGUGUAUAUUCUGUAAAUCGUGAUCCGAUAUAUAUACAAAGCAUUACUUCGCAAGAAAUUUAUCCUAUGUAACAGACAUGGAUAAAAAUCUACCCUAUGUACCAAACUUAAUAAUAAAAAGAAAUUAAAAAAUUAUGGGAAAAAGACAAAAAUAACAUCUAAAAUAAACUAAUUCUACAAAAUUAGCACCCAAAUUUUUAAUACCCAUAAAUAGCCACUCGCGAAUUGGGUUUUAAACCCGAUAAAUAGCCUCGUCACUCGCAUAUGUGUAUUAUAUCAUCUUCUUCUCUCAACUUUUCUCCAUUCCUACCAUAUAAUAUGAAUUUCACAUAGAAAUUAGAAAAAAAUAAAAUUCAACCCACCAAAAUUCAAUCAAUUUCACCCCAAUUCCUAAUCUCAGACACCAAAAUUGAACCUUCUAGGGGCUUCAAUCCAAUAGUAGUCUUACAGGGACUAGCUUCCUUUCCUACUGAAUUUCACUCAAGGAUUCCGAAUUCCAAUUUUGUUUCUGUCCGAUUAAUCCGAAUUCAUAUCGGUAACAAUACUUCGACGAAAAACUUGUACACAAAAUUCGACUAUUGCACUGGCAAAGUAACUUCUUCAGUUACCUUUGUCAACCAAAUACCUUGGUAAGGACAAUAUUUUUUCCAGCGAACUAUUCUUUUGGGUUUAUGCUCGUUUUUGUGAUUUUGUUUUCGUCCGAUUAAUCAACAUUCAUAUCGGUAACAAUACGUCGGCGAAAAACUUGUUCACAAAAUUCGACUAUUGCACUGACAAAGUAACUUCUUCAGUUACCUUUGUCAACCAAAUGCCUCGGUAAGUACAAUAUUUUUUUCAGUGAAAUAUUCUUUUGGGUUUAUGCUCGUUUUUGUGAUUUCGUUUCUGUCGUUAAUCAUUUACGUGAUAUUUCUGCUACUACUAUGAUUAUUGAGAUACUUGACACAUGAUUCAGUGAGUUUUCUCUGUUUCUAUCUUUAAGCUUCACUGUAUUUUAAUGGUAGCGUUGUGGAUUUGCAUGCUUAAUUUGAAGUCGACAAAGUUAUUGGUGUAGGACAUAAAUUGAUCAAAACUUUCAAUGGAGGUCUAUGCUUGCACAAAUUUUAUAUGUAAAAGGUGUAUUUAUAUGAUAUAUAUACUGUAUCAACGUGGUAUAAAAGUGUAUUAAUGCGGUAUCAAAGUGUAUCAAUGUAGUAUAAAAGUAUAUCAAUGUUGUAUAAAAGUGUAUUAAUAUGGUAUAAAAGAGUACCAAUUAGGAAUAGGAACUGAAUGUGCUUGCAUAGAAUUUCCUUUCUCUUUUUUAAAAAGUGUAUCAAUAUAAUAUAAAAGUGUAUCAAUUUGAUAUAAAAGUAUAUCAAUUGAUUAUAGAGACUGCAUGUACCAAAUUAGGCCAAAUGGCUGAAAAAAGGAUUAGUUUAGCCGACUGGACAACCCAUGUCCACCUUUUCAGAUGGGGGCCAUUUUUUUUUUUAAAUAGUUAUACCAUGUCCUUUUUCCUAUCUAUUUAUACUAGUACAAUGUCUAAUCUGUCCCUAUACAUUAUUCUAGAAAUAAGGGAAUAAAUCCUAUUAGAGAGAAAGUCACAGCUGGACAAUUUUCAAUCGAUAUAUGCUAAUUUUCAAUAAUUUGUCUAUGUAGAUGACACAAUCUUUUUUUGCUCAGGUCAUAAAGGUUCAGUGAAAAAAAUGAUGAGGGUACUACAUGAUUAUGAGAAAGUAUCUGGCCAGUUAAUCAUCCUUUCUAAGAGCUACAUAUAUACAUAACAAAGUUUCUAUAACAGAUAAGCACAAACUGAGAAGAUUAACAGGCAUUGAUGUAGGACAUCUCCUAUUCACAUACCUAGGAUGCCCAAUUUUCUAUAGAAGGCAGAAGAAGAUAUAUUUUGAGGAGAUCAUAAGGCAUUACAGGAUGUUAACUUAUAGGGGAAGGUAUGUAUUAUUAUGUAAUGUCCUGUAAUCAAUGACCAUGUAAUCAAUGACCAUAUAUCUGAUAUUUGUAAUGAACCCUCCGAAAGGUGUUAUUGAUGAAAUACAUAGGCUGAUAGCUAGGUUUUUUUGGGGUAAAAUAGGAGGUUCAAAAGAGAAGCAAUGGGCCACAUAGGAUGAUUUGUGCUAUCCAAAGACAGAAAAGGAAAUUGGCUUUCGAUCUUUGCAUACAGUUUCUGAUGCUUUGUUGGCAGUGGAAUUUCAAAACAUCUAUAGACUUUAUGUGGAGCCACUUUAUGUGGAACAAGUAUUGCAAGAAAAAACAUCCUGUAUUUCCACAAGGUUUUGAAAUUUCACAAGUUUGGAGAAAAACAAUACAGGUUAGGAAAAAAUAGAACACUAUAUCUUUUGGCAGAUUAAUAAUGGAGUUGUCAGCUUUUGGUUUGACAACUAGACUCAGUUAGACACUCUAUAUUUCACUGAUGAAGAAAAUAAUAUUGAGAAGGAGAUAGAAGUCACAUAAUUUAUAAUAGAAGAUGGUUCCUGAAAUGUGGAAAAGCUGAAAGAGUAUAUUUCAGAAGAGAGAAUACAACACAUAAAGGAUACCAUCAAAUCAUAUAAAAAUGAGAUAGACAGGGACAAAGCUUGGUGGAGGCCUACUUCAGAUAGUAAAUUCAGUAUCAAAGAUACACAUGAGGUAUUAAGGAAGAAAAGAAGGACCAAUGAGGAGUGCAAAUUGAUCUAGAACAAAACUUUGCCUACAAAGUUACGUUUCUUUUCAUGGAGAGCUUUGAAGGGAAGGAUACCUACAGAUGACAAUCUUGCUAAACUAAGGAUUCAUAUAGUAUCAAGGUGUUAGUGCUGUGAGAAACCCAAACAGAAAACUAUGGAACACUUAUUUCUAAAAACUCCCAUAACUACUAAGUUAUGGAAGCAGUUUGCUAAUUUUCUAGUUAUUAAAAUUGAAAGAGCAUAAUUACCACUUGUGAUCAGAAUGUGGUGGUUUAAAGAAGCACCCACAAAAUUACAGCAAAUCUACAGGGAGUUACCAGCAAUUAUUAUAUGGGUUUUGUGGGAAAAGGAGAAACAAACUGAAGCAUAGAGACAUUGCUCAAAUAAGUGAUAAAGUUAAAAUUCCCAUUGAUAAAGGAUACAGGGAACAAUUGGGCAGAUUUGGUGACCUAGUUCAAGAGAUAUAAACCAAGGUUGUAUUGCUAUGCAGUGAAAUGGACACUAUCCACAUAGGAGAGGUUAAAGUACAAUACAGAUGGUGCCUCUAAGAGAAAUCUAGGACAAGGAGCAUAUGGAUUUAUUGUGAGAAGAGAUGAUAGAAACUUAAUAUAUGCUCAAGAAGGUGGGCUGGGCAUUACUACUACUAUGAUAGUAGAGAUGACAACAAUUUUGAAGGCAGUAAGAUUUUGCGCAUUGAGGAAUUUUAGGGACAUGGAAAUAGAAUCAGAUUCUUUGGCUUUGGUUAAUAUUGUAAGAAAUGUGUGACAGAUCCCAUGGGAAAUGAUUGAAGCAAUAGAAGAAAUAAGAAACCUGAUGUCUAAUAUAAAUGCUACAAUCACAUACAUUUACAGGGAGGAGAAUACAUUUGUAGAUUAUCUAGCUAAUCUAGCUACUCAAUCAGAACAUACAAAAACAUUCAACAAAUUUUAGCAAUUACCACCAGUAGAAAGGAAGAUUUUUAAUAUGGAUAAGAUGCAAAUUCCUAAUUUGAGAAUUAACUAAGAUGAUAAAUCUAUAUUAAAAAAUGUUCGGCCUAUGCAACACAUGCAAAAUGUAGAUUCUGAGCAGCAAAGGCAUUUACAGUGAACUAAAUCCUUAUACAAGGACCAACACUGCUGCUAAAUACGAUAGCCAAAUCUAUGUUAGCUCACAAAAACUAUCACCAAAAACAAAGGAGAAAUGCGUCAUAUAUGUCCAUUGGCCUAGGAGGUCUGUCAUAAGCCUAUAUUAGCAAUGGAUCCAUCAUCUUCAAUGCAUAUCUAAUAGAAAAAGGAAGAGAAGAUUUUUAUCUUAGAUUCAAAGUGAUAAUGAAGAGCAGAAAGGUUACUUAUGGAUGAACUGCAAACCUUGGACGUUUCCCCUUUCUCUUUCACUCCAGAAACAACCCCACCACCUGAAACUUGGUAGAGUUUGUAAAGUGGAUAGGUGUAAAGACAAAUCUCUACAAAUGUUACCUUUGUUUUUUGACAACCUUUUUUGUGAAAAAGACACACAACACAAGGAUGGAACAAUAUUUAUCACCCACAGAAGAAGUAGAAUCAGUUUGGAAUUAAGGCGGCAACAUCUUAGAAGCACGUUGAAGGUGGAGAGGCGACCAAAGAUGGAAAUGGAAAUAAUAGGAAUUUCUUACAUUUUUAUAGCUAGGUCAAAUAGGAAAUUGGGCUUGACCUGCAAUAAUUUUCAGGAUUUGUUUUCUUUUUGGCAUUGGGCCAUAAACUUUUUUUGUUUUAUUGAUUAUUAAUAAAAUGGCUGCAAAGCCACAAAAAUUUCC
Molecule: long non-coding RNA, 5442 nt
Filed under: Capsicum annuum
Lineage: Eukaryota; Viridiplantae; Streptophyta; Magnoliopsida; Solanales; Solanaceae
Description: long non-coding RNA (CANN_LNC011923)
Source: RNAcentral